CCCCCCCGGCCCCACCGACGCCUUCGACUUCCAGCCGGAUUUGAGCUCCAGAAUUUUCCCCCAAGCCCGAGACCCCUCCGGGCCCAUCCUGGGGGGCUUCGGGCCCGGCAGGAACAAGGUCCCCUCCCCCUGCCCUGGCCUGGACAGGGGGGUUUUGGGGCCCCCCCUGGCCCCGUUUUUCUCGGGCUCCCCCAGUUCCUGCUUCUCCAGCGGCCUCCAGGCUGGGCUCAGCCAGAGCCACCUCAGCAAGACCAUUGGGAUCCCCCCGAACUCCCUGGACACCGUCCUGACCUUGG
Long non-coding RNA from Empidonax traillii (willow flycatcher), 296 nucleotides. RefSeq lists it as uncharacterized. The transcript has 4 exons. The record is from RefSeq and is a predicted model, not a curated record. Lineage: Eukaryota; Metazoa; Chordata; Aves; Passeriformes; Tyrannidae.